UACGUAGGGUGCAAGCGUUAAUCGGAAUUACUGGGCGUAAAGCGUGCGCAGGCGGUGAUGUAAGACAGGUGUGAAAUCCCCGGGCUUAACCUGGGAACUGCAUUUGUGACUGCAUCGCUGGAGUGCGGCAGAGGGGGAUGGAAUUCCGCGUGUAGCAGUGAAAUGCGUAGAGAUGUGGAGGAAUACCGAUGGCGAAGGCAGCCCCCUGGGCCAAUACUGACGCUCAUGCACGAAAGCGUGGGGAGCAAACAGG
RNAcentral lists this ribosomal RNA (253 nucleotides) under uncultured bacterium. RNAcentral's name for it is "partial 16S ribosomal RNA". It matches the Rfam family "Bacterial small subunit ribosomal RNA", at positions 524 to 776 of the family's 1533-position model. The record is from RNAcentral.